UACAGAGGGGGCAAGCGUUGUUCGGAAUUACUGGGCGUAAAGGGCGCGUAGGCGGCCGCCUAAGUCAGACGUGAAAUCCCUCGGCUUAACCGGGGAACUGCGUCUGAUACUGGAUGGCUUGAAUCCGGGAGAGGGAUGCGGAAUUCCAGGUGUAGCGGUGAAAUGCGUAGAUAUCUGGAGGAACACCGGUGGCGAAGGCGGCAUCCUGGACCGGCAUUGACGCUGAGGAGCGAAAGCCAGGGGAGCAAACGGG
RNAcentral lists this ribosomal RNA (253 nucleotides) under uncultured bacterium. Its description in RNAcentral is "partial 16S ribosomal RNA". It matches the Rfam family "Bacterial small subunit ribosomal RNA", at positions 524 to 776 of the family's 1533-position model. The record is from RNAcentral.